Molecule: long non-coding RNA, 721 nt
Organism: Heterocephalus glaber (naked mole-rat)
Lineage: Eukaryota; Metazoa; Chordata; Mammalia; Rodentia; Bathyergidae
Source: Ensembl
UAAAUGCCAGUGCUGAGGAAGCUUCCAGUGUGCAUUAAAGAGAGCAGGGACACACUGAUAGAGGAGGUGGCAGUGGAGCACAUACUGAGUACUGCUAAGCAGAGUCAGAUGGAAAAGCUAGUAAAUGCACCUAGCCUCUGAAAAAGAAUGUGCAGGCUCAUAGCACCUCCCUGGACUUCACGUUUGUGGCCUUAUGUAAUACCUGGAUUGUUGCCUGGUGUUUGAAGCAAGGACUUACACUUUGGAUCUGAUUGCUGUUUUUCUCUGGUUAUCUCUUCUACGUUGUUAAUCUCACAUUGUUCAACCAUACCCAAACAAUGUGAAUUAACCGAACAUGUUCUGGCUGUGGAGAUGAUCUGAAUAAAACUGCAAAAACAGUCAUAACCUUCAGAGUCUUGCAGGUGGUCUUGGGAAGGCCAAGCACAAAGGAGCUGGAGAGCAGUCACAAACAGAGCAUCAACAUGAACAAAGGAAGGUACCACUGGCUGAACACUGGAGGGCCGGAAAAUGCAGAAAAUGGUCAGCGAGAGAAAAGUGAUGAGGCUUCUUGGAGGAAAUACAUUCUAUCUGUGAUUGCAAAUCAAAACUUCUUUGUGAUGAUUCACAACCUACUGCACCAACAGCCCCAAAUGAGAGCCAACACACCAUGCACACCAACAUUCCUGAAAGUGCCUGGUUUAUGAAUAUGAAUGGAUAUUCCUUAAAGCAAUGAUUUAUUUAG